RNAcentral lists this ribosomal RNA (102 nucleotides) under uncultured bacterium. Its description in RNAcentral is "partial 16S ribosomal RNA". The record is from RNAcentral.
UGGCCCUUAUGGGUAGGGCUUCACACGUCAUACAAUGGUACAUACAGAGGGCCGCCAACCCGCGAGGGGGCGCUUACCACGGUAGGAUUCGUGACUGGGGUG